GGGGCUGUAACUCAGUCUGGUCAGAGUACUUCGUUGACAUCGAAGAAGUCGCUGGUUCGAGCCCAGUCAGCCCCA
Molecule: transfer RNA, 75 nt
Filed under: Christensenella hongkongensis
Lineage: Bacteria; Bacillati; Bacillota; Clostridia; Christensenellales; Christensenellaceae
Description: Catabacter hongkongensis tRNA
Rfam family: tRNA
About the family: Transfer RNA (tRNA) molecules are approximately 80 nucleotides in length. Their secondary structure includes four short double-helical elements and three loops (D, anti-codon, and T loops).
Source: Rfam by way of RNAcentral